AUUCAUCUCCGGGGGUAGAGCACUGUUUCGGCAAGGGGGUCAUCCCGACUUACCAACCCGAUGCAAACUACGAAUACCGGAGAAUGUUAUCACGGGAGACACACGGCGGGGGCUAACGUCCGUCGUGAAGAGGGAAACAACCCAGACCGCCAGCUAAGGUCCCAAAGUCAUGGUUAAGUGGGAAACGAUGUGGGAAGGCCCAGACAGCCAGGAUGUUGGCUUAGAAGCAGCCAUCAUUUAAAGAAAGCGUAAUAGCUCACUGGUCGAGUCGGCCUGCGCGGAAGAUGUAACGGGGCUAAACCAUGCACCGAAGCUGCGGCAGCGACGCUGAUGCGUUGUUGGGUAGGGGAGCGUUCUGUAAGCCUGCGAAGGUGUGCUGUGAGGCAUGCUGGAGGUAUCAGAAGUGCGAAUGCUGACAUAAGUAACGAUAAAGCGGGUGAAAAGCCCGCUCGCCGGAAGACCAAGGGUUCCUGUCCAACGUUAAUCGGGGCA
Molecule: ribosomal RNA, 492 nt
Filed under: Escherichia coli
Lineage: Bacteria; Pseudomonadati; Pseudomonadota; Gammaproteobacteria; Enterobacterales; Enterobacteriaceae
Description: bacterial LSU rRNA
Rfam family: Bacterial large subunit ribosomal RNA
Source: RNAcentral